RNAcentral lists this RNase P RNA (426 nucleotides) under Novipirellula herctigrandis. Its description in RNAcentral is "Planctomycetes bacterium CA13 Bacterial RNase P class A". It matches the Rfam family "Bacterial RNase P class A". Rfam says of the family: Ribonuclease P (RNase P) is a ubiquitous endoribonuclease, found in archaea, bacteria and eukarya as well as chloroplasts and mitochondria. Its best characterised activity is the generation of mature 5'-ends of tRNAs by cleaving the 5'-leader elements of precursor-tRNAs. The record is from Rfam by way of RNAcentral. Lineage: Bacteria; Pseudomonadati; Planctomycetota; Planctomycetia; Pirellulales; Pirellulaceae.
UGAGUGGGCAAGAUGAUCGCUGGAGUCGUUUCCGCGAAAGCGGUGGCGAUUUCUGGAGGAAAGUCCGGGCUCCGCAGGAUAGGAUGGUCGAUAACGUCGACCGGCCGCGAGGCUAGGGAAAGUGCAGCAGAGAAUAGACCGCCGAACGGUGUCUUUGACAUGCGUGGUAAGGGUGAAACGGUGCGGUAAGAGCGCACCAGCGGUCGAGGUGACUCGAUCGGCUUGGUAAACCCCAUCCGGAGCUAGACCAAACAGAGUGCAGUGAAUCGGUCUUCGGAUCGGUCCCGGCGUGUGAUCCGCACGGCUAUCGACACUCGGGUAGGUCGCGAUUGAGGCGGCGAGCAAUCGUCGUGCACAGAUAAAUGGUCGUCGGCGAAAAUUUUUUGGUUUUCGUCACAGAACCCGGCUUACCAACCCACUCACGAC